Long non-coding RNA from Chrysemys picta bellii (western painted turtle), 683 nucleotides. RefSeq lists it as uncharacterized. NCBI's taxonomy places the organism in Eukaryota, Metazoa, Chordata, Testudines, Emydidae. The record is from RefSeq and is a predicted model, not a curated record.
GUAAGGAUGGGGAGUCGGACUGGCCACCUCUCCAAACAAAAGACGCAGACGAAGAGACAGGAUGGUCAGCAGCAACAAGCCAGUAGUGCGCGCCCCCCGCGGAAUACAGCCAGGAAGAGACAGGAAACUUUUGGGGGCUGCUCCAGGGCUCCCGCCUGGGCCACGGAACAGGACCCCAACCCAGGGUCAACGCAGCCGACCGCACGUGGGGCUUGCCAGGGGGUGCAAUGAGCUCCCGGCCAGACGUGCAGGGAGAGGGGGAAGGCACCAAGCGGGACCUGCGGAGAGGAGGGAGGCUGCACGGCUACACAUGGACUGCACUGCAGCAAGCUGAAUAAUUUCAAGCAAUUAACUUUUACCACAUGGCACCAAACUCAGAAAAUUGAUUUACAUCAAUUGAAGAAAAGACUCUUGAAGGGAAAUGAGAAGUAUGUUGCAUUGCAAAACCACCGUUAAAAGUUUCUGGAAGACACGGUCUUCAGAAAAAUUUCAAAGAGGAACACUCCACAGUCUCUUACUACUUGGGACAAGUAGUUCUGAACUGAAACUGAAUACUGCUUCCUAAAAGUAAUAAUGUAAUACACUGCAUUUUAUAGCAAUUUUUGUCUAAGCAUAGUUUGAACAAUAAAUUGAACUUCAACCAUGUGGGGUAUUAGCCCAUGGUUGCCCACUUACUAAUCACA